GGAAUAUUGCACAAUGGGCGAAAGCCUGAUGCAGCAACGCCGCGUGAGGGAUGACGGCCUUCGGGUUGUAAACCUCUUUUAGUAGGGAAGAAGCGAAAGUGACGGUACCUGCAGAAAAAGCACCGGCUAACUACGUGCCAGCAGCCGCGGUAAUACGUAGGGUGCAAGCGUUGUCCGGAAUUAUUGGGCGUAAAGAGCUCGUAGGCGGUUUGUCGCGUCUGCUGUGAAAUCCCGAGGCUCAACCUCGGGCUUGCAGUGGGUACGGGCAGACUAGAGUGCGGUAGGGGAGAUUGGAAUUCCUGGUGUAGCGGUGGAAUGCGCAGAUAUCAGGAGGAACACCGAUGGCGAAGGCAGAUCUCUGGGCCGUAACUGACGCUGAGGAGCGAAAGCAUGGGGAGCGAACAGGAUUAGAUACCCCAG
Molecule: ribosomal RNA, 420 nt
Filed under: uncultured Curtobacterium sp.
Lineage: Bacteria; Bacillati; Actinomycetota; Actinomycetes; Micrococcales; Microbacteriaceae
Description: bacterial SSU rRNA
Rfam family: Bacterial small subunit ribosomal RNA
Source: RNAcentral